AAGCCUACACUGCCAUGGAUGUGCGGGC
RNAcentral lists this unclassified non-coding RNA (28 nucleotides) under Mus musculus (house mouse). RNAcentral's name for it is "oocyte_clustered_small_RNA4112". Lineage: Eukaryota; Metazoa; Chordata; Mammalia; Rodentia; Muridae. The record is from RNAcentral.